ACAACACAAACAAGGAAACAGAAUACCAAUACAUGGACUUACAUCCGACUCCAAACACACACAAACAAGGAAAUAGAACGCCAAUACAUGGACUUAUAUCCAACUCCAAACAGACACACGCUAACCAGCGAACACCAAAGAAAAAGGUUAUCAGAUCAACAAGCUAAUAGGGAGUCUGGAACUCGAACCUAAUAGCUACACAAACAAAA
RNAcentral lists this long non-coding RNA (209 nucleotides) under Lathyrus oleraceus (garden pea). RNAcentral describes it as "Pisum sativum (pea) long non-coding RNA (PSAT_LNC003469)". The record is from RNAcentral. Lineage: Eukaryota; Viridiplantae; Streptophyta; Magnoliopsida; Fabales; Fabaceae.